AAUGCACCAACUUGUAAGUCGCUCUGGAUAAGAGCGUCUGCUAAAUGACUUAAA
Molecule: non-coding RNA, 54 nt
Organism: Salmo salar (Atlantic salmon)
Lineage: Eukaryota; Metazoa; Chordata; Actinopteri; Salmoniformes; Salmonidae
Source: Rfam